AUUGAACGCUGGCGGCAUGCUUUACACAUGCAAGUCGAACGGUAACAUAAGAAAGCUUGCUUUCUUGAUGACGAGUGGCGAACGGGUGAGUAAUACAUCGGAACGUACCCUGUAGUGGGGGAUAACUACUCGAAAGAGUGGCUAAUACCGCAUACAACCUGAGGGUAAAAGUGGGGGACCGCAAGGCCUCACGCUAUAGGAGCGGCCGAUGGAAGAUUAGGUAGUUGGUGGGGUAAAGGCCUACCAAGCCGACGAUCUUUAGCGGGUCUGAGAGGACGAUCCGCCACACUGGGACUGAGACACGGCCCAGACUCCUACGGGAGGCAGCAGUGGGGAAUUUUGGACAAUGGGCGAAAGCCUGAUCCAGCAAUGCCGCGUGAGUGAAGAAGGCC
This 392-nucleotide ribosomal RNA is filed under the name uncultured bacterium. RNAcentral's name for it is "bacterial SSU rRNA". It matches the Rfam family "Bacterial small subunit ribosomal RNA", at positions 30 to 416 of the family's 1533-position model. The record is from RNAcentral.